UGGAUGGGUGAGCAGCUGGCCGAUGCGGGCGGUUCGGGACGCUUGAAGCAAUCCCGUGCAGUCUCUGACGUCUUUGGUUGCUGUUGUUGUUGUUGUUGUUGUGGUUGUGAAAAUGCUG
Molecule: long non-coding RNA, 118 nt
Organism: Drosophila navojoa
Lineage: Eukaryota; Metazoa; Arthropoda; Insecta; Diptera; Drosophilidae
Source: RefSeq, a predicted model, not a curated record